AGCAGCCGCGGUAAUUCCAGCUCCAAUAGCGUAUAUUAAAGUUGUUGCAGUUAAAAAGCUCGUAGUUGAAUUUCGGGGUCAGUAGGUUGGUCGUGCCACUGGUAUGUACUGGCCUCACUGAUUCCUCCUUCCUGAUGAACCGUAAUGCCAUUAAUUUGGUGUUGCGGGGAAUCUGGACUGUUACUUUGAAAAAAUUGAGUGUUUAAAGCAGGCUAACGCUUGAAUACAUUAGCAUGGAAUAAUGGAAUAGGACGUUCGAUCCUAUUUGUUGGUUUCUAGGAUUGACGUAAUGAUUAAUAGGGAUAGUUGGGGGCAUUAGUAUUCAAUUGUCGGAGGUGAAAUUCUUGGAUUUAUUGAAGACUAACUACUGCGAAAGCAUUUGCCAAGGAUGUUUCAUUAAUCAAGAACGAAAGUUAGGGAUCGAAGACGAUCAGAUACCGUCGUAGUCUUAACCAUAAACUAUGCCGACUAGGGAUCGGAUGAUGUUAAUUUUUAUGACUCAUUCGGCGCCUUAAC
RNAcentral lists this ribosomal RNA (516 nucleotides) under uncultured Glomus. Its description in RNAcentral is "SSU rRNA". It matches the Rfam family "Eukaryotic small subunit ribosomal RNA", at positions 569 to 1092 of the family's 1831-position model. The record is from RNAcentral. Lineage: Eukaryota; Fungi; Glomeromycota; Glomeromycetes; Glomerales; Glomeraceae.